Long non-coding RNA from Monomorium pharaonis (pharaoh ant), 1443 nucleotides. RefSeq lists it as uncharacterized. NCBI's taxonomy places the organism in Eukaryota, Metazoa, Arthropoda, Insecta, Hymenoptera, Formicidae. The record is from RefSeq and is a predicted model, not a curated record. The transcript is spliced from 3 exons.
AUUUAUAAGUUAUAACCGCCUUUAUAUAUUUUUUAUUUUUAAUAUUACAUGUUAAUUCGAUGCAACAUGUAUUGGAAUUGACGGUACAUUGAUAAUUAUACAAUUUAGAUCCAUCAUACAAUUUCGAUAAAAUUGUAUACGCUGCUUAUUCGAUGCAUUUUUGCACAAAAUGAACAAAAAAGUAUGGCAGAUAAAAGUUCUACUCUAUCUUGCGAAGCAAUAAAUUUAUCGUUAAAGUUAAAACUAACAGAUAUGUAUAUUAUCAAAUCUAUUAUUGACAAAAUAUAUAGCGAUAUGUUUCUUGUUUUGAUCUGCACAACUACAUAUUUUUAUAUUUAAAUAAUGUAUUUCUUAAGUAAAUUUAAAGAUAAUUUAUUAUUCGGGCUGCUAGUUUUACAUACAUUUCUGCAAAAGUCACAUAGCAUAUGUGUAAAUCAUACAAUAUAUAAAGGCAGUUAUAAACUUAUAAAUAUAAUUUAUAAAGACGUAUCAUAUUAAAACUAAUUUUAUAUUACAGGAUUCUGCCAAUUAUUCUUACAUCAUUCGGACAACUGUUCUUCUUAAAAUUUAAAAGAACGCAAAGAAUAACUGAAGUUUAUAAAAGUUGAAGAAAUUUUCACAAGGAUUAGAACAGCCUGCGACCACAUCAUCGGCAGAAAACUGAACUCAAAUGGAAGCGCACUCAUGUCACUAUCAUGUCCUGACAAUUUCGGAUUUUAUAAAACUAUAGGAGACGUGAUUGACGUUGAGAUUGUGAUUGACAGUUGGAGCAAAGCUAUAAUUUAGUUCAACAUUACGUGAAGUUUAUUUAAUGUUUUUCUCUUAUUUUCCCUCGUUUUUUAUGUUUUUAAAAAUUAUUUUUAAAAUAUAUUUACUAAUAAUCAUAAAGUAUAAUAUGUAUACAUUUGUUUAGAUAUAAGUUUAUUUUGUUGAUAAAUAUAUGUGUUAAAUAUAUUAAGAAGUUUAUUGAAAAGACUAUUUUUAAUGUUAUCUUUUUCCUUUUUAAUUAUAUCUAUCCUUUAUAAUUUUAGCACUUACAAUUUUCAGGAAGUCAAGUUCUUAAAUUAAUUUUACAUAAAACAACGAAAUUGCAUUCAAAAGUAUUUUUUGUUUUAUGUAAACUUAAUUUAAGUACUUAACCUCCUGGGAAUUAUGUGCUGAAAUAUAUACAUGUACAUAUAUAACAACACUGUAAUUAUUUUUUAUAACAGCAAUAUAAUAGUUUAUAUUGCCAUUACAAAACAUCUCGAUUAUAGUUAUAUAACAGUUCAGUUCUACGCUAUAUUUAUGUUAUGUAACUACAACAUCACAUGAGUAGGAAAUUAUAACUAACAGGAAUGUUACAUGUAACGUUCAUGUAAUAUUACCUGUUACAUUCCGUUUUAUUGCAGCAAUGUAAUGGUUAUAUAUUGGUGUUUGCUGGGUAAGCAUGUACUGUGAAAA